CCAGUAGUCACGAAUAUCUCCUUCUUCCCUAAUCCAAGAUUGGAGAAAGAAGAUCUAAGAGGGGCCGAUGGGUAAUGUAGUCGGAAAUCCAUAAUAGAGUCCAACCACAAAGUGAAGGAGAUAGACGGUUUAAACAAAAAAAGACCCAAAAUUUCAAACAUGUAUCUAGAAUCACUAGAAAACUACAAACAAAAAUAG
RNAcentral lists this ribosomal RNA (198 nucleotides) under Triticum aestivum (bread wheat). RNAcentral's name for it is "partial small subunit ribosomal RNA". Lineage: Eukaryota; Viridiplantae; Streptophyta; Magnoliopsida; Poales; Poaceae. The record is from RNAcentral.